This 393-nucleotide ribosomal RNA is filed under the name uncultured bacterium. RNAcentral's name for it is "partial 16S ribosomal RNA". It matches the Rfam family "Bacterial small subunit ribosomal RNA", at positions 523 to 918 of the family's 1533-position model. The record is from RNAcentral.
AUACGGAGGAUCCGAGCGUUAUCCGGAUUUAUUGGGUUUAAAGGGAGCGUAGGCGGACGCUUAAGUCAGUUGUGAAAGUUUGCGGCUCAACCGUAAAAUUGCAGUUGAUACUGGGUGUCUUGAGUACAGUAGAGGCAGGCGGAAUUCGUGGGGUAGCGGUGAAAUGCUUAGAUAUCACGAAGAACUCCGAUUGCGAAGGCAGGCUGCUGGACUGUAACUGACGCUGAUGCUCGAAAGUGUGGGUAUCAAACAGGAUUAGAUACCCUGGUAGUCCACACAGUAAACGAUGAAUACUCGCUGUUUGCGAUAUACAGUAAGCGGCCAAGCGAAAGCAUUAAGUAUUCCACCUGGGGAGUACGCCGGCAACGGUGAAACUUAAAGGAAUUGACGGGG